This is a long non-coding RNA of Erpetoichthys calabaricus (reedfish), 1645 nucleotides long. RefSeq lists it as uncharacterized. The transcript is spliced from 3 exons. The record is from RefSeq and is a predicted model, not a curated record. NCBI's taxonomy places the organism in Eukaryota, Metazoa, Chordata, Cladistia, Polypteriformes, Polypteridae.
CUCAGGAACUAUUCGCCAUCAGUAACGGCUGUUGAAGGUUGAAAAAGAUGGACAUCUACAAAAAUAUAAAAGUUGGUGUAUACGGUGUCAAGGGUGGAACCCCAAGAGGCAAUGCCACUGAUCAAUCUGUUUGUGAACUGCCUCCAGCCCUUUAAAGGCAAAGGAGAUGGACUGUUCAGGUGGGAAUCAUUGUAAUCGAUAUUGUGAAUUGAGAAGGUGCAGAAGGAAUGUCAUCUCCUGGCCUUUGAGCGGUACUAGGAUAGAGCAGCAUCUUUCAGUAAAGGUGACACAUGGGUGCUAUCCAGUGACCUGAGAUGAAGACUGGACUCUUUCAGUACUCUGUAUCUUUGAAGGAUCCUUGGGUACCGCUGGUUUGACUGUGUUGAAUGAGCGGUUGCUCAUGGAGUCCUGAAUGAGACACAUUACCUGCAUUGUGAGGAAGCAUCAGUUAUUGCACUACAGCCAUGUGGCGCGAUUCCUAGAGGGUGAUCCGGUUUGUGGGAUCCUCAUUGUUGAGGACCGUGUGGCUGGACCAGGCCAAGGGGAUGCCAACAUAAUACCUGGCUGACUCAGAUAGAUGGUCAUUUCCAGAGAGUGGGACAGGACCGUGUGUCUGCCUGAGGGGUGGCCAACCAGGAUCCCGAGCUGUUUUGUCAUGUGGUGGGUGAGGCAACACGCUACCAGUGCAUGCUCCCCAACCUGACCUGACCUGAUACCUGUUGACACAUCUUUGACUUGAGACAGAGAGGAAUUCUCAGCUGGAAACUGAGAAGCUGUUUAAAGGGAAAUUUAUAAUUUGCCACUGGGACAUAAAGUGCUGUUUUAUGUGUCUAUGUUCACAGGGCUCUCAGUCCCAGGAUAUAUUUGACCACCUUGGAGGACAUCUGUAUCACCAACAUAAAAGUAUGAGAAGUUUGAACAAAUAAGAGAAAAGUAUUGAAUCUAUCCAUCUUGCUUCCCCAGGUUAUCAAAUAGUUAUGAUGCUGCAGCAUCUCUUCCAGAUACUUUCCAAAAGUCAUUAAUGUUCUUCUUCAACUAUGUGAUUUGUUAUAUUUUUUUCUAGAUUUCCAGAAUGUUUUAUGUAAAAAAACAACACUGGCCUUCUUUCUUAAAUUAAGUUCUCCUUAACUACCAUCUUUCACUCUGUGAUUCUUUUAUGAAAGAUGUCUAAUAGAUCAACUUAAUCGAUGACUUUGAAAAAUGUGAAUAUCUUCCACACACUGUUCUCUGUUCAAGACUAAGAGGUGUAAUUCUCCCAGCAUGUCACUGCAGAAUGAGCUCUUUAGCUCUGGUAUACAAUUUCCAACUCUUCUCUUUACAAACUCUAUGUCUGCUAUGUCCUUUUCAAUGCACGGUGACUAAAACUGUUCACAGCCCUAACUACCCCUUGAUUUAUGUUCAGUUUUUUUUUUAAAUAUAACCUAAGGUAUAUUUUGCCUUUUCUUUGCUCACUGUCUGGAGGAGGGGAGUGUUGCAUCAAGAGCAACUUGUAAAUACUUUUCAGAGGUUACUUCUAUAGAGCAGUAUUGCCCGCCUUGUAUUUAUGAUUAAUGCUGCUUUGUCCUGCUUGUAACACUUAGCAUUGUUCUGCAUUAAAGUGCAUUUUCAAUGUGUAUGCCACGUUUUGGAUAUUUUUUAGUCAUCU